CUGGACAUUGAACUGAGGCAUUGCUGGAGAUCUUAUUUCUUUCCUUUUCUCCUUGAAGUCUGAGUUUCCAAGGAAUUUCAUACAAUUUUAGCAAUAGGUGAGUAAAAGAACACAUGAACAUGCUGUAAGCUCUUGUCUUCUUUUGCCCCUCUGGUUUCAGGCUAAAGGAGAUCCAAAUGAGUGAAUAUGAUGCUGCAACCUAUGAAAGAUUUUCAGGUGCUGUUCGGCGACAGGUGCAGUCCCUCUGAAUCAUCUUGGAUAAUUUACAGGCUAAAGGUAAAGAAAGGCAGUGGCUAAAACACCAAGCUACUGGAGAACUAGAUGAUGCCAAGAUCAUUGAUGGGCUGACUGGAGAGAAAACCAUCUACAAACGUCGGGGUGAGCUGGAGCCACAACUGGGGAGCCCACAAGAGAAACCCAAGCGUCUGCGCCUGGUGGUAGAUGUGUCUGGCAGCAUGUAUCGCUUCAAUGGAGUGGAUGGCCGGCUUGAGCGCUCAAUGGAGGCCGUGUGUAUGGUCAUGGAAGCUUUCGAGAACUAUGAGGAGAAAUUCAAGUAUGACAUCGCUGGACACUCUGGAGAUGACUACAAUAUUGCACUAGUUUCAAUUAACAAAAUCCCCAAGAACAACAAAGACUAGAAAUUCUAAAGACAAUGCAUGCCCACUCUCAGUUCUGCAUGAGUAGAGACCACACAUUAAUGGGGACAGAACAUGCUAUCAAGGAAAUUGUCAAAGAAGAGGCUGAUGAAUACUUUGUCAUAGUCUUAAGUGAUGCAAAUCUGUCACGAUAUGGAAUAAAACCUGCCACAUUUGCCCAGAUCCUUACAAGUGACCCUCAAGUAAAUGCUUUUGCCAUUUUUAUUGGAUCAUUGGGUGAUCAAGCAACCAGGCUCCAGAAAACUUUACCAGCUGGCAGGUCUUUCAUUGCCAUGGAUACCAAGGACAUCCCUCAGAUUUUACAACAGAUCUUCACCUCCACAAUGUUGUCAACUGUUUAAGAAAUGCCCUCCACUGCAUAACGACCCCGGGAUUUAAAACAAGAAAAAGGAAUGUUCUAAAGAGAAGACAUCUGUAAAGCAAACCCAUGCAAUGACCAUAUAAUUCUAGCAUUGCUUGCUUCUUCCUACACUGACUCCAUAAUCAGGAUUCAGAAAAGCAGCCAGAAGCAGACUUGUGCCUGUAAAUCUCCAGCCACUGAUGGGUUUAGAAAUCCUCAGUGGGAGCAAGUUGACCUUCAUAUAAUGCAAGGUCAUGGUUAAAGGAAAUUGGCAUGAGAACUACAGUGUUUGGACUGUUUCAAAAACCUGAGAGGUAAAGAAUCCUUGCUUUUGCCUUAACACAUCAUCCGUCACCUAAGAUAAGAGAAAAAACACCAUCACACUGAAACUCUGAGACCAUGGUCUGACAUUGGGAUCAAGUCUGUGCAAACCCCACCCAACAUGCUGCUGUCUCAUAAUUAUUUUUAUUUUCUCCCUGCUCUGGAUUGUCUAGCAAACAAUAGUUUUAUAGUAUUUAACCCACUGAAAAGACCUUCCAACAGCAAUAUUUUAUAAAAAGUUGGAUUUUCUCAGUAAUUCCAUUUUCUUGGCCAAAGCCAAAAGAAAUCAGGAGAGCCUUAGAAUGCUUGAUUUCCUAGGUGACUUUUAAAAGGCUCUUUGAAUAAUAAAGAACAAAUGUCCUGUUCUCCCUGCCACCACAUGGAAGAAUAAAGAUAUCUUGUGUGAA
Molecule: long non-coding RNA, 1724 nt
Organism: Marmota monax (woodchuck)
Lineage: Eukaryota; Metazoa; Chordata; Mammalia; Rodentia; Sciuridae
Exons: 6
Source: RefSeq, a predicted model, not a curated record